GCAUCCAUGAUGAAGCUGCUUGGUGUUGGAGGUCAGUCUGGAGGAUGUUUGGACCAUGUUGACUCAAAUCCAAGGUGCAAUCAAUCUUGCACUUUGUGUGCUAGCGCUUUGAGAUGAAGCAACAACUUCUUGCUUUCAGGCCCACUGAAGGACAAAGCUUCCGACUGGUGACAGAGAUGGUGCACACAGCCAGGGGAAUAGGUGAGAGGAGCACUGGUCACCCAAAGGACUGGAUGAUGGA
Anguilla anguilla (European eel) is the source of this 241-nucleotide long non-coding RNA. RefSeq lists it as uncharacterized. NCBI's taxonomy places the organism in Eukaryota, Metazoa, Chordata, Actinopteri, Anguilliformes, Anguillidae. The transcript has 3 exons. The record is from RefSeq and is a predicted model, not a curated record.